This 3320-nucleotide ribosomal RNA is filed under the name Triticum aestivum (bread wheat). RNAcentral describes it as "partial small subunit ribosomal RNA". Lineage: Eukaryota; Viridiplantae; Streptophyta; Magnoliopsida; Poales; Poaceae. The record is from RNAcentral.
CUUUCAUUUGGGGGGUUCUGUUUUGAUAAGGCAAGGAGAAGGGAAGGAGCUCGAGCGGCGGAGGAGAGGAAGCGAUUUCUUAUGUUCAUGGCGAUUCCGGGCUAUUCCACCGCCCGAUUUCGAUUUCUCCUCCCUUUUCUAUUCGAUCCCCGCUGCCGCGGUUGGUUGUCCUUGUCUCUCGCGUUUCCCUGUGUUGUGGCUAUGUAGUUCCGGAUCUAGGUAAGUUUUGGAUCCGUGGUUCAUCUGUUAUUGGUGUUGUCCGUGGAUCCGUGGUAGGUGCAUGUUGCUGCCGUGUUUGUUUCUAGUCCGCCAUGCCUAGCGCUCCAUUUCCCAUCCUUCUGCCCGCCUGAGUUGUGUAGGAGCUUGUUGUAUGUGGGGAGUUCUAAUCCAUCUCCUUGUUGUGGUCCUUUUCUCCCCUGCUUGUAGAUGUAGAGGUAGGCGUAGGUUGUUUAUUCUGAUGUAGAUGUAGAGGUAGGCGAAGUUAUAGUUGCAGCGGUGGAUUCGCCCUAUCAAUUUUAUUUCUGCUGGCCUGGGUGUCUGUUCCUUUGUCGUUAGAUGUAGUUGCAGAUGGUCUAGCAUGGGUUUCUGCCUGCUUCUGCAGUUUACUUGUAGUUGCUGUUAGCUGCUGAUGUUUGCUGUUGUAAUCCCUGGAAUUCAAUAUGAUUUUUUUUGUUAGAUGUAGGUGUUCAUUUCACCCGGUACCUGAAUCUCUCUGAAUUUGUGUGUACUAGGCUGCAGUGUUGUUGUAGUGUUAGUCCAGGAAUCUCUCUGAAUUUCAUGCUUCUUUACGGUGUAUUUUUACUCCAGACUUGAAGUGUAACUUACCCCUAGAAUUACAGUGUAUCCCCAUCCAGAAUUACUGUGUAAUUUAACUCAUAAUUACAGUGUAACUUGCCCCAUAAUUGCAGUGCAUUUACAGUGUAGCCUGAUGCUUCUUUAUUUGUUGUUACUCUGUAAUUUGUCCUAGUAGUACUGUGUAUUUCCCCCCUAAUUACAGUGUAAUCCUGAUGCUUCUUUCUUCAGUGUAAAUUUUGCUAUAAUUACUGUGUAACAUGUCGUAGAAUUACACUGUAGGUUACCCUGCAAUUACAGUGCAAUAUACCGUGAUUACCGUGUGUUUUUUGUGCUUCUUUAUUUGUAAUUACUGUGUAAUUUUCCCUAGAGUUACUGUGUAAUAUUUUCCCCCGUUACCGUGUAAUUCUCAUGCUUCUUUCAGUGUAAAUUGCAGUGUAUAUUUUUCAGUGUAAUACUGCGCCAGUUUCUUUGUUAUUUACAUUGUAAUUUUUCUCAGAUGUUUUGCAUGCAUUCAUGUAGUUUUGCACUGUAAUAUCCCCCAUUCUUACUAUAUAAUUUAUCUUCAGUUUUUGGCAGUGUACUUCCUCUACCUUUUCAUUGUAAGUUGCCCUAAUUAUUGUGUAUUUUGACUCAGAGUUUCACUGUAUUUAGGUUGGUUUUUACACUGUAUUUUAAGUGAUUCUUGCACUGUAUUAAUAUGCCCCAUUAUUCUAUAAUUCCCCUGAUUGCUGCCUUUCAGUGUAUUUGUUGUGAGAUUUCCCUUGUAAUUGAGCCCCAUUACUCUAUAAUUUUCAACUUUCUUUAAUUUCUUUUUUUUUCGUGUGUCAUGUAUUCUGUUUUGUUAGGUUUAGGUCAAUGGGGAGACUACGGAAAGUCUCUCACAAGGAUGUUUCGGUAGUUUCUUCUAUCGUGAGUGCUGAUUCUUGGAAUGAUCAUUUUGUGCCUAAUGACUUUGCGGAAGAUGGUUCUAAUGCUAUGUCUUUGGAUCUUUCUAGUGAUGAUAGAGGGUUUGAUAAAGCUAUUUUUCAAGAAUUUCAUUGCAAUCCCCAUGCUUCCUUUUUGUAAUUGCAGUGUAAUAUACCCUAGAAUUGCAGUGUAAUUUAGCCCAGAUUUUAGUGUAAUCCCAAUGCUUCAUUUUUUUAAUUACAGUGUAAUUUUCCUAGAAUUGCAGUGUAAACUCCAUGCUUCAUUUAUGUAAUUACAGUGUAAUUUUCCCCAUAAUUACAGUUUAAACUUCAUGCUUUAUUUAUGUAAUUAUAGUGUAAUUAUUCCCCGAAUUGCAGUGUAAUUUUUCCUAGAACUUCAGUGUAAAUUUCAUUUUUUUUCUAAACAAAGUAGUGUAAUUUUCCUGCUGAACCUCUAUUACUUGAUAUUUGAGCUUCAUUCUUGUUCAGCUUUGCUUGAAUUACAGUGGAUUUUAACUCUGUUUAGGGCGAUUAUCCUGUGUAGUUCCUUGGUUAUUAUCAUUGUAAUCCACUAGUGUGAUUAUUCAUUUCCUUCACUGUCCAUGUGUACGAGCACUGUAACAAGCUCUGCUUUUCAUUGUCAAUAUUAAUGCCUUCAUCUGAUAGGACUUGUGUUCUUUAUGCUGAUAGGUAUGUCUUUGUAUUCAUGACUUCGUCUGAACUUGCAUGUAUCUCUGUAAUCCACUGAGUUCAUGUUAGUUACAUUGCCCUGUAUCGCAGCAAAGAUUUUUUCAUGUGUACUACAGCAAAGUUUUUUUCAUGUAAUUUCCCCAUGGUUCAUGCUACCUACAUUGCCCUAUACUGCAGCAAAGUUUUUUUCAUGUGUACCUUACACUGGAAUUCGUGUUGGUGUAGUGUUUUGACAGUGAAAUAUUAACAGUUUUACCUUCUGACAGUUAGAAUUUCCCCCCUGAUGAUUCCCACAUUUUCACUAGAUUGUAUGAUGUUUUUUUUUCUACAGGCUAGUUCAUGUAGGAUGUGUAUCUAGAGCAGCGGGGUGAGGAAAAACACGGAAGAGUUCAAUAGAAGUGUGAUCAAAAGGAGUAGGACAUUACGUGAGCUGUGGACCGUCUCUUGGUUGAUCUUCCUCUGCCCUCCACCAAUUAUUCGGAUCUGUUCUUCCCCCUUGCUUCUCUCCAGGUGAUUUGUUGUCCAGGAAAGGAAAAAAGAGCAUGGGCAACGGUCCAGGUGGGUUUCGUGAUAGUUGCCUUGUUUUGUUUUGGUUAUUAGUUAGAACCGGGUCAGAUUUUAGCCGCCCGACCCAUUUUUUUGGAAAUACAAGCAUACAAUUGUCCAUGGUAUUUGGACAUAGGUGUCAGCGCUUGAUUUGUCAGGAAAUUUGACUAUAAUAUAGUGCUUUUUACCUUUGUAUUGGAUGACUUUCUUCGUUAUUUAACUUGUUUACCCCUAACCCGGGUCUGAUGUUCACCCCUGACCCGUUUAGGCGUUCUUUUUUGCUUUAUGUUGAUUUUCCUGCUCAUACAGGUGUAAUGUGUUGAUUGGUCAGGAAAUUUGACUGUUUUUGAAUUGAAAAACAGUCAAAUGUCAAAUAGACAGUCC